Molecule: long non-coding RNA, 359 nt
Filed under: Mytilus galloprovincialis (Mediterranean mussel)
Lineage: Eukaryota; Metazoa; Mollusca; Bivalvia; Mytilida; Mytilidae
Source: RNAcentral
UACUACUGAAAAAUCUGGACUUAAAAUAAGGCGUAUAGGUACGGUUUUCAAAUUUGUUAGCAUGCAUGACGUAAAACAGCGAAUCAUAGAAUUCAAUUUUAUUUAUAACUAAUAAAGGACAAUUCUGUUGAUUAAAAAAUACUCCAUUCCAGGACCUUUUGUCUUCCAAAUAAUUAAUAUUACCAAUAAUUGAUAAGUUCAAGGUCAAUGUGUUCAAACAGACAAAAGAUUUUGAAAGCAGAGAAAAAUGUGUAUCUUCGUUAAAAUCGGAUGACAAUACCAAUACUAAAAUAAGGCUUACACAUAGUUAUAUACUUUAAUUCAGUCGCGGACCCGCGAUAUCACGGGUAUGUUCUAGU